This 488-nucleotide long non-coding RNA is filed under the name Prunus persica (peach). RNAcentral describes it as "long non-coding RNA (PPER_LNC005904)". Lineage: Eukaryota; Viridiplantae; Streptophyta; Magnoliopsida; Rosales; Rosaceae. The record is from RNAcentral.
UUUUGAUAGAUUGGAUAGAGGAAGCUUAAUUUUUAUUGUGGUUCUUAAGGAUAGAAAAUGUGAGUGCCAGUUAGGUUGGAUGAUGAAUUUUUCCAGCUUCAAUCUUUGAUAGCAAAGAGGUGUGUCUUUGUGUAUGUGUUUAAGCAUAGAAAGAAAGGCUUACAUGUCGAAACCAAAAGAAUAGAUGAGUAUGGUUUCUACUUGACCUUUGCAAAACAACAAUUUUGUUUGGCAGCUUGUAAAUCCUCUUUUGGGUUGAGGUGUUCAAAUUCCAAUUUCAUCCGUGCUCACUUACAAAGAGAAAUGAAUUCAAAGUAAAAAUAGAAACAGAUGCAUGUCACUCCUUGAAUGCUUCGUACACUGGUCCAAAGAAGCUGCUUCAAAAGUUUAAAUCAUCCUCUUUGUGUCAUGCAUGUUGGGAAACAAAUCAAGUGGCUGAUAUUGUAGCAAAAUAUGAGCAUGCUUGUACGAGUCCCUGUCAUUUUCCU